RNAcentral lists this long non-coding RNA (217 nucleotides) under Brassica rapa (field mustard). RNAcentral describes it as "long non-coding RNA (BRAP_LNC000763)". Lineage: Eukaryota; Viridiplantae; Streptophyta; Magnoliopsida; Brassicales; Brassicaceae. The record is from RNAcentral.
GGGGUUUGAACUCAUAGGCCAUGAUGAAAGAAAAUAACUGAAAAGCCUAUCAUACAUAUAGUUUGGAGGAUUAGGAAGCCCUAACAAGGUUACAAACUUGACCUCGAGGCCCAUUUGCUAGUUUAAGCAAACUCGAUCCCAUACGUAGUAUAUUGAAUCCACAUGUCUCCUUCGAGUGGAUGGAAGACGAAUUAAACGCCUCAAGACUGAAUAAUCA